GACGAACGCUGGCGGCGUGCUUAACACAUGCAAGUCGAACGGGUCUGCCCUGUUUUUUGCGGGGUGGGUCAGUGGCGAACGGGUGAGUAACACGUGAGUAACCUGCCCCUCACUUCUGGAUAACCGCUUGAAAGGGUGGCUAAUACGGGGUGUUCUGGCUGUGCCGCAUGGUGUGGCUGGGAAAGAUUCACUUUUGUGGUGUUUUGGUGGGGGAUGGGCUCGCGGCCUAUCAGCUUGUUGGUGGGGUGAUGGCCUGCCAAGGCUUUGACGGGUAGCCGGCCUGAGAGGGUGGGCGGUCACACUGGGACUGAGAGACGGCCCAGACUCCUGCGGGAGGCAGCAGGGGGGGGUAUUGCACAAUGGGCGGAAGCCUGAUGCAGCGACGUCGCGUGAGGGAUGGAGGCCUUCGGGUUGUGAACCUCUUUCGCCGGUGAAGAAGGUCCUGCUCUUUGUGGUGGGGUUGACGGUAGCCGGGUUAUGAAGCGCCGGCUAACUACGUG
This 500-nucleotide ribosomal RNA is filed under the name uncultured bacterium. RNAcentral describes it as "partial 16S ribosomal RNA". It matches the Rfam family "Bacterial small subunit ribosomal RNA", at positions 28 to 507 of the family's 1533-position model. The record is from RNAcentral.